AGUAACGCGUGGGCAACCUGCCUCAUACAGGGGGAUAGCAUCGGGAAACUGGUGGUAAAACCGCAUAAGCGCACGAAGACGCAUGUAUUCGUGUGAAAAGGAGAAAUCUGGUAUGAGAUGGACCCGCGUCUGAUUAGCUAGUUGGAGUGGUAAAAGCACACCAAGGCGACGAUCAGUAGCCGGCCUGAGAGGGUGGACGGCCACAUUGGGACUGAGACACGGCCCAGACUCCUACGGGAGGCAGCAG
Molecule: ribosomal RNA, 247 nt
Filed under: uncultured bacterium
Lineage: Bacteria
Description: partial 16S ribosomal RNA
Rfam family: Bacterial small subunit ribosomal RNA
Source: RNAcentral